AACGAACGCUGGCGGCAUGCCUAACACAUGCAAGUCGAACGGGAUCCUAGCUUGCUAGGUGAGAGUGGCGGACGGGUGAGUAACACGUGGGAAUCUCGCCUUUUUGGUUCGGGAUAACCGCGGGAAACUGCGGCUAAUACCGAAUGCCCUCGAGAGAGGAAAGAUUUAUCGCCAGAAGAGGAGCCCGCGUCCGAUUAGGUAGUUGGUGGGGUAAAGGCCUACCAAGCCGGACGAUCGGUAGCUGGUCUGAGAGGAUGAUCAGCCACACUGGACUGAGAUACGGCCCAGACUCCUACGGGAGGCAGCAGUGGGGAA
Molecule: ribosomal RNA, 315 nt
Filed under: uncultured bacterium
Lineage: Bacteria
Description: bacterial SSU rRNA
Rfam family: Bacterial small subunit ribosomal RNA
Source: RNAcentral